GAUGAACGCUGGCGGCAUGCCUAUAAAUUCAAGUUGGAGCAAACAAACGGGAAGCUUGCUCCUCUGACGUAAGCGCCGAACGGGUGAGUAAAACUUGGUAAACCAACUUUUAAAACGGGGAAAACUUCGGGAAACCGGAGCAAUAACCGGAUAAUAAAUUAAACGGAAGGGUUAAUUAGUAAAAGCCGGUUUUGCUGCCACUUAUAGAUGGAUCCGCGCCGAAUUAGCUAGUUGGUAAGGUAACGGCUUACCAAGGCAACGAUGCGUAGCCGACCUGAGAGGGUGAUCGGCCACACUGGAACUGAGACACGGUCCAGACUCCUACGGGAGGCAGCAGUAGGGAAUCUUCCGCAAUGGGCGAAAGCCUGACGGAGCAACGCCGCGUGAGUGAUGAAGGUCUUCGGAUCGUAAAACUCUGUUAUUAGGGAAGAACAAAUGUGUAAGUAACUAUGCACGUCUUGACGGUACCUAAUCAGAAAGCCACGGCUAACUACGUG
This 497-nucleotide ribosomal RNA is filed under the name uncultured bacterium. RNAcentral's name for it is "partial 16S ribosomal RNA". It matches the Rfam family "Bacterial small subunit ribosomal RNA", at positions 28 to 507 of the family's 1533-position model. The record is from RNAcentral.